UACAGAGGUCCCAAGCGUUGUUCGGAAUUACUGGGCGUAAAGGGCUCGUAGGCGGUUUGUCGCGUCGGGAGUGAAAUCCACUGGCUUAACUGGUGGCUUGCUUUCGAUACGGGCAGACUGGAGGUAUGCAGGGGAGAACGGAAUUCCUGGUGUAGCGGUGAAAUGCGCAGAUAUCAGGAGGAACACCGGUGGCGAAGGCGGUUCUCUGGGCAUGUCCUGACGCUGAGGAGCGAAAGUGUGGGGAGCGAACAGG
RNAcentral lists this ribosomal RNA (253 nucleotides) under uncultured bacterium. RNAcentral describes it as "partial 16S ribosomal RNA". It matches the Rfam family "Bacterial small subunit ribosomal RNA", at positions 524 to 776 of the family's 1533-position model. The record is from RNAcentral.